Molecule: small RNA, 128 nt
Filed under: Marmota monax (woodchuck)
Lineage: Eukaryota; Metazoa; Chordata; Mammalia; Rodentia; Sciuridae
Source: RNAcentral
GCCAGGUGUGGUGGUGCAUGCCUGUAAUCCCAGCGGCUCAGGGGCUGAGGCAGGAGAAUGGUAAGUUCGAGGCUAGCCUCAGCUACUAAGUGAGGACCUAAGCAACUUAGCAAGAGACCCUGUCUCAA